GACGAACGCUGGCGGCGUGCUUAACACAUGCAAGUCGAACGGUGAAGCGCCUUCCUUUUUGGUGGGUGUGGAUGAGUGGCGAACGGGUGAGUAACACGUGAGUAACCUGCCCCCUUCUUCUGGCUAACCGCAUGAAAGUGUGGCUAAUACGGGAUAUUCUGGGUCUGUCGCAUGAUGGGUCUGGGAAAGAUAUUGUUUCGGUGGGGGAGGGGCUCGCGGCCUACCAGCUUGUUGGUGGGGUGAUGGCCUACCACGGCGGUGACGGGUAGCCGGCCGGAGAGGGUGGACGGUCACACUGGGACUGAGACACGGCCCAGACUCCUACGGGGGGCAGCAGUGGGGAGUAUUGCACAAUGGGCGCAAGCCUGAUGCCGCGACGCCGCGUGAGGGAGGGAGGCCUGCGGGUUGUGAACCUCUUUCGCCAGUGAAGCGUGCCUGCCUCGUGUGUGGGUGGGUUGACGGUAGCUGGAGAAGAAGCGCCGGCUAACUACGUG
RNAcentral lists this ribosomal RNA (494 nucleotides) under uncultured bacterium. RNAcentral's name for it is "partial 16S ribosomal RNA". It matches the Rfam family "Bacterial small subunit ribosomal RNA", at positions 28 to 507 of the family's 1533-position model. The record is from RNAcentral.